This 70-nucleotide transfer RNA is filed under the name Escherichia coli. Its description in RNAcentral is "tRNA-Glu". The record is from RNAcentral. Lineage: Bacteria; Pseudomonadati; Pseudomonadota; Gammaproteobacteria; Enterobacterales; Enterobacteriaceae.
CGUCCCCGUCUAGAGGCCCGACACCGCCCUUUCACGGCGGUAACAGGGGUUCGAAUCCCCAGGGGACGCC